This 339-nucleotide ribosomal RNA is filed under the name Denitromonas sp. 37. RNAcentral's name for it is "bacterial SSU rRNA". It matches the Rfam family "Bacterial small subunit ribosomal RNA", at positions 493 to 832 of the family's 1533-position model. Lineage: Bacteria; Pseudomonadati; Pseudomonadota; Betaproteobacteria; Rhodocyclales; Zoogloeaceae. The record is from RNAcentral.
CCGGCUAACUACGUGCCAGCAGCCGCGGUAAUACGUAGGGUGCGAGCGUUAAUCGGAAUUACUGGGCGUAAAGCGUGCGCAGGCGGUUGUGUAAGACAGGUGUGAAAUCCCCGGGCUUAACCUGGGAACUGCGCUUGUGACUGCACGGCUAGAGUACGGCAGAGGGGGGUGGAAUUCCACGUGUAGCAGUGAAAUGCGUAGAGAUGUGGAGGAACACCGAUGGCGAAGGCAGCCCCCUGGGCCGAUACUGACGCUCAUGCACGAAAGCGUGGGGAGCAAACAGGAUUAGAUACCCUGGUAGUCACGCCCUAAACGAUGUCGACUAGUCGUUCGUAGAGG